AGCGUAUCGCCAGAGCGCUGCACCAUCGACGGCAGAUCCAUGCUGCUGCACUCUGUCUGAGCGGGUGCAAAAUGCCUUUGUGUGUGUGCGUGUGUGUGUGUGUGUGUGUGUGUGUAUGAGUGUGUAAGUGGGCUCAAGUACGCUAGUCCUAUAUUCAAAACACGCAACACUUGUCAUCAGCAGGCGCCGACAAUCAUUUACGCAGUAACACAUACACACACACACACACACACGCACACAACAAUAAACAGCUGUCUACGAGUUUGCACUGUGCUCUGCCGCCCC
Drosophila navojoa is the source of this 285-nucleotide long non-coding RNA. The record is from RefSeq and is a predicted model, not a curated record. Lineage: Eukaryota; Metazoa; Arthropoda; Insecta; Diptera; Drosophilidae.